This 509-nucleotide ribosomal RNA is filed under the name uncultured bacterium. RNAcentral's name for it is "bacterial SSU rRNA". It matches the Rfam family "Bacterial small subunit ribosomal RNA", at positions 28 to 526 of the family's 1533-position model. The record is from RNAcentral.
GAUAAACGCUAGCGGCAGGCCUAACACAUGCAAGUCGAGGGGCAGCAUAGAAAGUACUUCGGUACUUUUGAUGGCGACCGGCGGACGGGUGCGUAACGCGUAUGCAACCUACCCUUAACAGGGGGAUAAUCCGAAGAAAUUUGGUCUAAUACCCCAUAACAUCAUUGAGGGCAUCCUCAGUGGUUAAAAAUUCCGAUGGUUAGAGAUGGGCAUGCGUUGUAUUAGCUAGUUGGUGUAGUAAUGGUUCACCAAGGCUACGAUACAUAGGGGGACUGAGAGGUUUUCCCCCCACACUGGUACUGAGACACGGACCAGACUCCUACGGGAGGCAGCAGUGAGGAAUAUUGGUCAAUGGGCGCAAGCCUGAACCAGCCAUGCCGCGUGCAGGAAGACGGCUCUAUGAGUUGUAAACUGCUUUUAUACGAGGGUAAUGACACUUACGUGUAGGUGUUUGAAAGUAUCGUAUGAAUAAGGAUCGGCUAACUCCGUGCCAGCAGCCGCAGUAAGAC